This 163-nucleotide non-coding RNA is filed under the name human gut metagenome. Its description in RNAcentral is "Lysine riboswitch". It matches the Rfam family "Lysine riboswitch aptamer". Rfam says of the family: Riboswitches are metabolite binding domains within certain messenger RNAs that serve as precision sensors for their corresponding targets. The record is from RNAcentral.
GGAUAGAGGCGCGGUAAUCAUCAGUAGCGUCCGGCAAGGGCAGGCAGCCGCCGGAUGAGAAAGGGAAAACCGCCGAAGCGUUGAAAAAGUGCCUGCUUUUUCAGCCGCUGGGCCGUCGGAGAAUAUCUGCCGGACUGUCACAUUAAUUUUGUGAAGCGCUAUC